This 21-nucleotide non-coding RNA is filed under the name Arabidopsis thaliana (thale cress). The record is from RNAcentral. Lineage: Eukaryota; Viridiplantae; Streptophyta; Magnoliopsida; Brassicales; Brassicaceae.
GUACUAGGAUGGGUGACCUCC